AUUGAACGCUGGCGGCAUGCUUUACACAUGCAAGUCGAACGGCAGCGCGGGCUUCGGCCUGGCGGCGAGUGGCGAACGGGUGAGUAAUACAUCGGAACGUGCCCAGUAGUGGGGGAUAGCUCGGCGAAAGCCGGAUUAAUACCGCAUACGACCUGAGGGGGAAAGCGGGGGAUCUUCGGACCUCGCGCUAUUGGAGCGGCCGAUGGCAGAUUAGCUAGUUGGUGGGGUAAAGGCCUACCAAGGCGACGAUCUGUAGCUGGUCUGAGAGGACGACCAGCCACACUGGGACUGAGACACGGCCCAGACUCCUACGGGAGGCAGCAGUGGGGAAUUUUGGACAAUGGGCGAAAGCCUGAUCCAGCAAUGCCGCGUGUGUGAUGAAGGCCUUCGGGUUGUAAAGCACUUUUGGCGGGAACGAAAAGGACUGUGCCAAUACCACGGUUCGAUGACGGUACCCGCAGAAUAAGCACCGGCUAACUACGU
RNAcentral lists this ribosomal RNA (483 nucleotides) under uncultured bacterium. RNAcentral describes it as "partial 16S ribosomal RNA". It matches the Rfam family "Bacterial small subunit ribosomal RNA", at positions 29 to 506 of the family's 1533-position model. The record is from RNAcentral.